UCGUCUCCCGCAUCCCAUGGCUCCCGAUCCCGUCUCUCUCACGGCUCCUGAGGAAAAAAAUGUCUCCUGCUCUCGCCUCCUCGUCCGCCCCGCGGUCGUGGUCCAGGCCGUCGGCGCUGGGAUCCAGUCCCAUGAAGAAAUUCUCUACUCCUCCCUCUUAUCUGUACCACUCUAGAUCGCGUCCAACCAUCGUCGAGCUUGGCGGCAGCGCAGAAGGAGAGCGCUGGUACGUCGGCGCUAGAGGACGUACUGGGCCUGGGGGUGGUUUGCAAGUGCAGCCAUACGACUCGGCCAUGGCGGAUGCGCUGGCCGCCGGGAACGCCAGUCCGCCACCGUACCAUUGGGGACGCCGUUAGGAAGGGGUGUUCUCAGUGCGACGGAAGGUCGGCGUCGAGUGGUGCGGCGAGUGCCAGGCUUCUAGAGGGCGCCGACGGUAUGACAGCGGGGUGCCGGAUGAUCACACGUGCUUAUGCUCCGGCGGACAGGCUAGCAGGGCUGGGAUCAUCACGGCGCCUGCACAAGGUGGUAUGAGUGCAGCACAGCCGAUGCAUCCUCUCCACCCGCCGCCGGUCUCUUUUUCAUCAUACAAGCAAGGAGACUCAUCGAUCAGAGAACUGGUGCAUGCGUGCCGCGUGCGGCAUGGCAUUGGAGAAUAGUGAAGCAAGCCCAUGGAUGAAGAAUCAUUGGCACCGGCCUAUGUGGCAGCAUUACCAGAUGCGUACGCAGUUCGUGCGAAGGGACCCCUCAUUGCUUCGACGCUGAUUCAGUGGGAAUCACCAGUUCACCGCCGCCACUGUUGAAGACGUGUAGAAAUAGCUUGUGUUUUUUCCUGUUCCCCUCAUUGGUGUUCUCGUCCCUUCCUCUCGACUCAUGCAGAUUCCGAACAUUGCGUUUUUUGUUUGUUUGUUCAUAUGCAGGUUCUCUCCUAGAUUUGGUGGUGCAGAAGUCAGCAGCGUUGGCGCGCUGCAGCCUGCAGGUCAUGGAUGUGAAGCAGGCCCUGAUUCUGAACUAUGGGAGGGUAAAUUAACAAUUACUCAUAGAGAUUGAUUUAUUUAGGACAUACAACCAUCUCUCUCAUGCCCUCUUUCUCUCACUUGUUUUUCCCAUUGGAUCAAGAGCAUGAGACGACGUCACAUUGUGGCUGUAAUGAAUACAAUUUUGACCAAAGGUUUUAUUGUUGUUUGGCAGAUGGGGACUUGAUCAUCUUUGUUGUAGCACAGAGACUUGUUCCAGAUAUUGAACAUGUCUUUUUAUCUAUUCUUUGUUUGUUCUGAAUUUGGACGCUUUCAUGCAGAUCAAGUUAUUACGGAGGACAGAAAAGAAGAGGUGCAUUGCAAUAUAUAUUUGACUAUUAAAUGUGUGGCACAAUCUGUUGACAAACACAUUUAGGUAUGUGUAGUAUGCUUCAGACCAGGCUCCAAAAUCAGGAUACAUGCCAGCUGCAAAGCAAAUAUAUUAAAGUUGCUCAGGUGGAUCUAUUUUGGUUCGAGCUGCUCAGGUGGAUCUAAUCAAGACAACUUAUUGACAGUCUUCCAUUUCGACUGCAGCAAUGUGCGGUGGCGCAUGUGGAGUAGGAGGUACCGAGGUAGAAGAGAAGAUGGAGAAGGUGGUUAUUCCGGCCUUACGUUUGAGUGUUGAAUGUGGAGUAUAUGAAAAUACUUGAGUUGAAGAGCAUCCAGUACCUGAGAUAAAUGAUCGAGGUGAUGCUUGACUUGAAUAAAAUGAGUUGUCAGAAUAUGA
This is a non-coding RNA of Triticum urartu, 1740 nucleotides long. Lineage: Eukaryota; Viridiplantae; Streptophyta; Magnoliopsida; Poales; Poaceae. The record is from RefSeq and is a predicted model, not a curated record.